RNAcentral lists this long non-coding RNA (1380 nucleotides) under Homo sapiens (human). Its description in RNAcentral is "HSALNT0391125". Lineage: Eukaryota; Metazoa; Chordata; Mammalia; Primates; Hominidae. The record is from RNAcentral.
AGCGGUGGAUGCAGGUACCGCCAAUAGUCUAUCUAUCCCGGUGAGUGAGGAGACCUGCUUUGAGGGUUGCACAACCUGGAUCUGCUUUUACAGUGGUGUCUAUCACUAUGAAGACUCCACCAUGGGUCGCCAUCAGGUCAGGGACCCUGACAAGGCAAGAACUGCAUCUUCCUCUGCACACAGCUCUGCUCCCUUCCCCGCCAUGCCUAACACCAAGCCCAGCCCUGAGGGAUGACUCAGGAAUAUUACUGAGAGCGUUUUAGGCCAUUCCUUCAUUAUCCCCAUGUGACUUGUUAUGAAAUAUAGACUGACUUCCUGAAGAUCAGCACAUAGUGCUAAGUAUUUGGCUUGUAAUCUGUAGAGACUCUGCCAUUUGGAGCUGGGAUCUGUCCCCAGAGCUGUCAGACACCAAAUCCCGUAUCUACUGCCACCCAAAGGGACCUCCAGAAGAAAGGGGUUAUACAGGGUCAAACACCAAGGCAGGUUAGUGAAAUUUCUCUAGAGGCCAUUUAAAGCUGGAGUCUCACCACCUGAAUUGCCCUCAGAGGAAGGCUGUCUAGGGCACAAACCUAGUCAGGGGUCCACAUGGACUUAAGGACAAUUUUUUUUUUUUUUUUUUUUUUGAGAAACUCUCAUUCUGUCAUCAAGGCUCGAGUACAGUGGUGUGAACUCAGCUCACUGCAAGUCUCAACCUCCUGGGCUCAGCUCCUAAGACACACUAGCCACAUAUCAAGUGCUCAACUGCCCCGUGUGGCUAAUGGCUUCCAAACUGGCAGCACAGGCAACUGUUUUCAUCACUGAAGUUCUGUUGGACAAGAAUACCUCUGGAAGCACACACGAGAAACUGGUAAUGGCGGUUGCCUUCGGGGAGGGAAACUGGGAGAGUGCAGGGCUGUAUGCCCUUUUGUACCUCUUGAAUUUCAUAUCAUGUGUUUGUACUAGGUGUUUACAAAUUAUUUUAAAAACAUACUGGGAAUUAGGAAUCCCCGUAUGGAAUCACUGCAGUGGGACACUGAUUCCCAAAAAAUUACUUUGCAAUUUGCCUAAAACAAAUUAAGCUAAUAGCUAUCAUGAUUUCAUAUUUAAUAUUUUUUCCCAGCUUAGAGUUUUUUUUAGCUCCUGUUGCUAUCUCUCUGCUCUUAUGAGCUCACAGGGUGACAAAGUGAAUUAGUAAGUAGCAGGAGAACAUUAAAGGAAAAACUCCUGGGCAACAGGGUAAAACGCCGGCUCUACAGAAAAUACAAAACAUUAGCCAGGCAUGGUGGCAUGCACCUAUGGUCUUAGCGACUUGGGAGGCUGAGGUGGGAGGAUCGCUUGAGCCCGGAAGGCGGUAACUCAAUCCCAGCAGAAUCCCAGGGAGCGAAAGUGGCUCAUCCCAAA